CCUACGGGGGGCAGCAGUGGGGAAUAUUGGACAAUGGGGGCAACCCUGAUCCAGCCAUGCCGCGUGUGUGAAGAAGGCCCUCGGGUUGUAAAGCACUUUCAGUGAGGAAGAACGCCUGGUGGUUAAUACCCAUCAGGAAAGACAUCACUCACAGAAGAAGCACCGGCUAACUCCGUGCCAGCAGCCGCGGUAAUACGGAGGGUGCGAGCGUUAAUCGGAAUUACUGGGCGAAAAGCGCGCGUAGGUGGCUUGAUAAGCCGGUUGUGAAAGCCCCGGGCUCAACCUGGGAACGGCAUCCGGAACUGUCAAGCUAGAGUGCAGGAGAGGAAGGUAGAAUUCCCGGUGUAGCGGUGAAAUGCGUAGAGAUCGGGAGGAAUACCAGUGGCGAAGGCGGCCUUCUGGACUGACACUGACACUGAGGUGCGAAAGCGUGGGUAGCAAACAGGAUUAGAUACCCUGGUAGUC
This 465-nucleotide ribosomal RNA is filed under the name Vreelandella stevensii. RNAcentral's name for it is "partial 16S ribosomal RNA". It matches the Rfam family "Bacterial small subunit ribosomal RNA", at positions 338 to 795 of the family's 1533-position model. The record is from RNAcentral. Lineage: Bacteria; Pseudomonadati; Pseudomonadota; Gammaproteobacteria; Oceanospirillales; Halomonadaceae.